CGAUCACCUCGUCGAUGCGGUUCGGUGACAGUCCCUGGCCCGGGCUGCGGAUCUCGAUCAUCUCCCGGGUGAUCGUC
Molecule: transfer RNA, 77 nt
Filed under: Bradyrhizobium japonicum
Lineage: Bacteria; Pseudomonadati; Pseudomonadota; Alphaproteobacteria; Hyphomicrobiales; Nitrobacteraceae
Description: tRNA-Ala
Source: RNAcentral